Molecule: non-coding RNA, 69 nt
Organism: Pseudomonas monteilii
Lineage: Bacteria; Pseudomonadati; Pseudomonadota; Gammaproteobacteria; Pseudomonadales; Pseudomonadaceae
Source: Rfam
GGCACACAACCUGCUUUGACCUCUGCAUAGGUAACCAACGGCGGUUGCCCACCCCGACAAAGACGUCGC